RNAcentral lists this ribosomal RNA (1732 nucleotides) under Salmonella enterica. RNAcentral describes it as "partial 23S ribosomal RNA". It matches the Rfam family "Bacterial large subunit ribosomal RNA", at positions 1216 to 2925 of the family's 2925-position model. The record is from RNAcentral. Lineage: Bacteria; Pseudomonadati; Pseudomonadota; Gammaproteobacteria; Enterobacterales; Enterobacteriaceae.
UAGUGUUGUUGGGUAGGGGAGCGUUCUGUAAGCCGUUGAAGGUGUCCUGUGAGGGGUGCUGGAGGUAUCAGAAGUGCGAAUGCUGACAUAAGUAACGAUAAAGCGGGUGAAAAGCCCGCUCGCCGGAAGACCAAGGGUUCCUGUCCAACGUUAAUCGGGGCAGGGUGAGUCGACCCCUAAGGCGAGGCCGAAAGGCGUAGUCGAUGGGAAACGGGUUAAUAUUCCCGUACUUGGUGUUACUGCGAAGGGGGGACGGAGAAGGCUAUGUUGGCCGGGCGACGGUUGUCCCGGUUUAAGCGUGUAGGUGUGUGUUCCAGGUAAAUCCGGUUCACUUUAACACUGAGGCGUGAUGACGAGGCACCACGGUGCUGAAGCAACAAAUGCCCUGCUUCCAGGAAAAGCCUCUAAGCAUCAGGUAACAUCAAAUCGUACCCCAAACCGACACAGGUGGUCAGGUAGAGAAUACCAAGGCGCUUGAGAGAACUCGGGUGAAGGAACUAGGCAAAAUGGUGCCGUAACUUCGGGAGAAGGCACGCUGACACGUAGGUGAAGUGAUUUACUCAUGGAGCUGAAGUCAGUCGAAGAUACCAGCUGGCUGCAACUGUUUAUUAAAAACACAGCACUGUGCAAACACGAAAGUGGACGUAUACGGUGUGACGCCUGCCCGGUGCCGGAAGGUUAAUUGAUGGGGUCAGCGCAAGCGAAGCUCCUGAUCGAAGCCCCGGUAAACGGCGGCCGUAACUAUAACGGUCCUAAGGUAGCGAAAUUCCUUGUCGGGUAAGUUCCGACCUGCACGAAUGGCGUAAUGAUGGCCAGGCUGUCUCCACCCGAGACUCAGUGAAAUUGAACUCGCUGUGAAGAUGCAGUGUACCCGCGGCAAGACGGAAAGACCCCGUGAACCUUUACUAUAGCUUGACACUGAACAUUGAGCCUUGAUGUGUAGGAUAGGUGGGAGGCUUUGAAGCGUGGACGCCAGUCUGCGUGGAGCCGACCUUGAAAUACCACCCUUUAAUGUUUGAUGUUCUAACGUGGACCCGUAAUCCGGGUUGCGGACAGUGUCUGGUGGGUAGUUUGACUGGGGCGGUCUCCUCCUAAAGAGUAACGGAGGAGCACGAAGGUUGGCUAAUCCUGGUCGGACAUCAGGAGGUUAGUGCAAUGGCAUAAGCCAGCUUGACUGCGAGCGUGACGGCGCGAGCAGGUGCGAAAGCAGGUCAUAGUGAUCCGGUGGUUCUGAAUGGAAGGGCCAUCGCUCAACGGAUAAAAGGUACUCCGGGGAUAACAGGCUGAUACCGCCCAAGAGUUCAUAUCGACGGCGGUGUUUGGCACCUCGAUGUCGGCUCAUCACAUCCUGGGGCUGAAGUAGGUCCCAAGGGUAUGGCUGUUCGCCAUUUAAAGUGGUACGCGAGCUGGGUUUAGAACGUCGUGAGACAGUUCGGUCCCUAUCUGCCGUGGGCGCUGGAAGACUGAGGGGGGCUGCUCCUAGUACGAGAGGACCGGAGUGGACGCAUCACUGGUGUUCGGGUUGUCAUGCCAAUGGCACUGCCCGGUAGCUAAAUGCGGAAAAGAUAAGUGCUGAAAGCAUCUAAGCACGAAACUUGCCCCGAGAUGAGUCUUCCCUGAGACCUUGAGUCUCCUGAAGGAACGUUAAAGACGAUGACGUUGAUAGGCCGGGUGUGUAAGCGCAGCGAUGCGUUGAGCUAACCGGUACUAAUGAACCGUGAGGCUUAACCUU